This 253-nucleotide ribosomal RNA is filed under the name uncultured bacterium. RNAcentral's name for it is "partial 16S ribosomal RNA". It matches the Rfam family "Bacterial small subunit ribosomal RNA", at positions 524 to 776 of the family's 1533-position model. The record is from RNAcentral.
UACGAAGGGGGCUAGCGUUGCUCGGAAUUACUGGGCGUAAAGCGCACGUAGGCGGAUCGUUAAGUCGGGGGUGAAAUCCUGGAGCUCAACUCCAGAACUGCCUUCGAUACUGGCGAUCUUGAGUCCGGAAGAGGUGAGUGGAGCUCCUAGUGUAGAGGUGGAAUUCGUAGAUAUUAGGAAGAACACCAGUGGCGAAGGCGGCUCACUGGUCCGGUACUGACGCUGAGGUGCGAAAGCGUGGGGAGCAAACAGG